RNAcentral lists this transfer RNA (72 nucleotides) under Exophiala spinifera. RNAcentral's name for it is "tRNA-Thr (CGT) (tRNA-Thr-CGT-1-1)". It matches the Rfam family "tRNA". From Rfam's summary of the family: Transfer RNA (tRNA) molecules are approximately 80 nucleotides in length. Their secondary structure includes four short double-helical elements and three loops (D, anti-codon, and T loops). Further hydrogen bonds mediate the characteristic L-shaped molecular structure. tRNAs have two regions of fundamental functional importance: the anti-codon, which is responsible for specific mRNA codon recognition, and the 3' end, to which the tRNAs corresponding amino acid is attached (by aminoacyl-tRNA synthetases). tRNAs cope with the degeneracy of the genetic code in two manners: having more than one tRNA (with a specific anti-codon) for a particular amino acid; and 'wobble' base-pairing, i.e. permitting non-standard base-pairing at the 3rd anti-codon position. The record is from RNAcentral. Lineage: Eukaryota; Fungi; Ascomycota; Eurotiomycetes; Chaetothyriales; Herpotrichiellaceae.
GCCGGCUUGGCCCAGGGGUAAGGCGUGUCACUCGUAAUGACAAGAUCAUCGGUUCGAAUCCGAUAGUUGGCA